GGAGCGAAAGGGUGGGGAGCAAACAGGCUUAGAUACCCUGGUAGUCCACCCCGUAAACGUUGGGAACUAGUUGUGGGGUCCAUUCCACGGAUUCCGUGACGCAGCUAACGCAUUAAGUUCCCCGCCUGGGGAGUACGGCCGCAAGGCUAAAACUCAAAGGAAUUGACGGGGACCCGCACAAGCGGCGGAGCAUGCGGAUUAAUUCGAUGCAACGCGAAGAACCUUACCAAGGCUUGACAUAUACGAGAACGGGCCAGAAAUGGUCAACUCUUUGGACACUCGUAAACAGGUGGUGCAUGGUUGUCGUCAGCUCGUGUCGUGAGAUGUUGGGUUAAGUCCCGCAACGAGCGCAACCCUCGUUCUAUGUUGCCAGCACGUAAUGGUGGGAACUCAUGGGAUACUGCCGGGGUCAACUCGGAGGAAGGUGGGGAUGACGUCAAAUCAUCAUGCCCCUUAUGUCUUGGGCUUCACGCAUGCUACAAUGGCCGGUACAAAGGGCUGCAAUACCGCGAGGUGGAGCGAAUCCCAAAAAGCCGGUCCCAGUUCGGAUUGAGGUCUGCAACUCGACCUC
RNAcentral lists this ribosomal RNA (571 nucleotides) under Microbacterium sp. RNAcentral's name for it is "bacterial SSU rRNA". It matches the Rfam family "Bacterial small subunit ribosomal RNA", at positions 750 to 1319 of the family's 1533-position model. Lineage: Bacteria; Bacillati; Actinomycetota; Actinomycetes; Micrococcales; Microbacteriaceae. The record is from RNAcentral.